UGGGUUUUACUCCAGUUUAUAAUUUUAUGUGCCUGAGAAUUUUUGUGCAAAUACAUGUCAUCUUUCAUUAAAAAUAUGCAUAGCACACUUUGGAUAAAGUUAGUUACAACUAACUUUUCUUAAAAAAUUUAAAUAUAUAAAUAUACAACAUAAUUUACUGCCUACUGCCUGAUUGCACUUCUGGUUUAAACCCUCUGGCCUCCAAGGAAAACGGAGAAACAGGCAAUAAUGUUUGCAUUCCUGGGCCACCAUGUUGUCCAGAAGAAAUAGUCUAAAAAAGUUUUUAAUUUCAAUUUACCCUUAUUUUCCUCUUAAAUCCCUCCAAGCCCAAUCACAUUGUUAUUUUUUUUUUGUUGUGUUGUACAAAAAUACAAGCUUAAAAAAAACUGAAGUUCUAAUAAUCACAAAUACAAAGGGAUCUAUCUGGGUGGUGUUUGGGUUCUCCGUGAGGGCCUCACAGCUGCUAACUUCUUCCUCCUGCUCAGCCAGAAUCUGGAGCUUCCGUUCCCAUUCUUCAGCGAAGAACUGCUUCUCACUUAGGUAGUUCUGUCUUCUCAGGCUAAGGCGAUGCAAUGCUGUAGCCAGGUCACUAUCUUCAGGGAGUCCUGGGGGGUCCCUGGGAUGAGAGUUCC
Molecule: long non-coding RNA, 632 nt
Filed under: Rattus norvegicus (Norway rat)
Lineage: Eukaryota; Metazoa; Chordata; Mammalia; Rodentia; Muridae
Description: long non-coding RNA NONRATT029419
Source: RNAcentral